Molecule: long non-coding RNA, 517 nt
Filed under: Phasianus colchicus (ring-necked pheasant)
Lineage: Eukaryota; Metazoa; Chordata; Aves; Galliformes; Phasianidae
Description: lncRNA (ENSPCLG00000002300.1)
Source: RNAcentral
GGAAUAUCGGGAUCAGGGGCGCAGCUGAUGUUAGAUACCAUUGUGACGUCAGGACCGCUAAUGUUUGACUGGCAGCAGACAGCCAGGGCCAUCUUAACACCAGCACAAUGUAUAGUGUGGAACAGCAGACAAUUCUGGGCUCACCUCUCAGUGACAGCUCUGUGAACUGCCUCCAGCUUCUUAGCAUGUUUUUAAGAGCCUGCUGACACCUUGCAAUUAUCACUCAUCAGUCAUUUCUCAAGAGACUUGCUUUUACUGCCUGAAAGUUACUUAUCAUCCAGGAAGCAACACUGUAGUUGAUGUGCCUUGUCCUUUCUAUUCCUCACCCAUUUCCAAUUCUCCUCCUUCGAAUUUCAUUGCAUCUUAUUCCGAUAAUUUCACAAGGCAGUCUUGGCAUCAUUGUGAAAUGCAUUUAGAGAAGACCACAGAUCCUCUGUUCGUACAGACUGAAACAGUCUAUUCUUCAAAUGGGACUACUUAUUCAUCAGCUCUGUGUAAUAAAGCACCUACAUCUUCC